RNAcentral lists this ribosomal RNA (253 nucleotides) under uncultured bacterium. RNAcentral describes it as "partial 16S ribosomal RNA". It matches the Rfam family "Bacterial small subunit ribosomal RNA", at positions 524 to 776 of the family's 1533-position model. The record is from RNAcentral.
UACGUAGGGUCCGAGCGUUGUCCGGAUUUAUUGGGCGUAAAGAGCUCGUAGGCGGCUUGUCGCGUCGACCGUGAAAACUUGGGGCUCAACCCCAAGCCUGCGGUCGAUACGGGCAGGCUAGAGUUCGGUAGGGGAGACUGGAAUUCCUGGUGUAGCGGUGAAAUGCGCAGAUAUCAGGAGGAACACCGAUGGCGAAGGCAGGUCUCUGGGCCGAUACUGACGCUGAGGAGCGAAAGCGUGGGGAGCGAACAGG